GACGAACGCUGGCGGCGUGCCUAAUACAUGCAAGUCGAGCGGACCAAAGGGAGCUUGCUCCUGGAGGUUAGCGGCGAACGGGUGAGUAACACGUGGGCAACCUGCCUGUAAGACUGGGAUAACAUCGAGAAAUCGGUGCUAAUACCGGAUAAUAAAAAGAACUGCAUGGUCUUUUUGAAAGAUGGUUUCGGCUAUCACUUACAGAUGGGCCCGCGGCGCAUUAGCUAGUUGGUGAGGUAACGGCUCACCAAGGCAACGAUGCGUAGCCGACCUGAGACGGUGAGUCGGCCACACUGGGACUGAGACACGGCCCAGACUCCUACGGGAGGCAGCAGUAGGGAAUCUUCCGC
Molecule: ribosomal RNA, 350 nt
Filed under: uncultured bacterium
Lineage: Bacteria
Description: bacterial SSU rRNA
Rfam family: Bacterial small subunit ribosomal RNA
Source: RNAcentral